CGUUGUCCGGAUUAUUGGGCGUAAAGAGCUUGUAGGCGGUUUGUCGCGUCUGCUGUGAAAGGCCGGGGCUUAACCCCGUGUAUUGCAGUGGGUACGGGCAGACUAGAGUGCAGUAGGGGAGACUGGAAUUCCUGGUGUAGCGGUGGAAUGCGCAGAUAUCAGGAGGAACACCGAUGGCGAAGGCAGGUCUCUGGGCUGUAACUGACGCUGAGAAGCGAAAGCAUGGGGAGCGAACAGGAUUAGAUACCCUGGUAGUCCAUGCCGUAAACGAUGAGUGCUAAGUGUUGGUCUCAUAAGAGAUCAGUGCUGCAGCUAACGCAUUAAGCACUCCGCCUGGGGAGUACGACCGCAAGGUUGAAACUCAAAGGAAUUGACGGGGGCCCGCACAAGCGGUGGAGCAUGUGGUUUAAUUCGAAGCAACGCGAAGAACCUUACCAGGUCUUGACAUCCCUCUGACCGCUCUAGAGAUAGAGCUUUCCUUCGGGACAGAGGUGACAGGUGGUGCAUGGUUGUCGUCAGCUCGUGUCGUGA
Molecule: ribosomal RNA, 531 nt
Filed under: uncultured bacterium
Lineage: Bacteria
Description: bacterial SSU rRNA
Rfam family: Bacterial small subunit ribosomal RNA
Source: RNAcentral